RNAcentral lists this transfer RNA (90 nucleotides) under Aquihabitans sp. RNAcentral describes it as "tRNA-Ser". It matches the Rfam family "tRNA". From Rfam's summary of the family: Transfer RNA (tRNA) molecules are approximately 80 nucleotides in length. Lineage: Bacteria; Bacillati; Actinomycetota; Acidimicrobiia; Acidimicrobiales; Iamiaceae. The record is from RNAcentral. RNAcentral also lists the same sequence under 1 other name.
GGAGGGUUGCCAGAGCGGACGAAUGGGACGGUCUCGAAAACCGUUGUGGUCGCAAGGCCACCGUGGGUUCAAAUCCCACACCCUCCGCCA